AAACCAUGUUGAGGACAUUGUCUGAGCAACCCUUUGUAUCUUUUUCACGCCUUAUAAUAACACUCAAAAUCAAGCUGAGACAAUGAAGUGAUUUCAUCCAUCAACUU
This 107-nucleotide small nucleolar RNA is filed under the name Olea europaea subsp. europaea. RNAcentral's name for it is "Plant small nucleolar RNA R71". It matches the Rfam family "Plant small nucleolar RNA R71". Rfam says of the family: R71 is a member of the C/D box family of snoRNAs containing the C (UGAUGA) and D (CUGA) box motifs. Multiple nearly identical copies of this snoRNA have been identified in Arabidopsis, and it is thought to function as a 2'-O-ribose methylation guide for 18S ribosomal RNA. The record is from Rfam by way of RNAcentral. Lineage: Eukaryota; Viridiplantae; Streptophyta; Magnoliopsida; Lamiales; Oleaceae.